This is a non-coding RNA of Suillus subaureus, 83 nucleotides long. NCBI's taxonomy places the organism in Eukaryota, Fungi, Basidiomycota, Agaricomycetes, Boletales, Suillaceae. The record is from the annotation of a RefSeq genome assembly.
CCGGUCUUAGUCAAGUGGUAACCACGGCAGAAUCAAAAUCUGUUUCUCUUGAACUGCGCAGGUUCGAAACCUGCCAGGUUUUU